CCUACGGGAGGCAGCAGUGAGGAAUAUUGGUCAAUGGGCGAGAGCCUGAACCAGCCAAGUCGCGUGAAGGAUGACGGCCCUACGGGUUGUAAACUUCUUUUGUCAGGGAGCAAUUGAGUCCACGUGUGGGCUUAGCGAGAGUACCUGAAGAAAAAGCAUCGGCUAACUCCGUGCCAGCAGCCGCGGUAAUACGGAGGAUGCGAGCGUUAUCCGGAUUUAUUGGGUUUAAAGGGUGCGUAGGCGGAAUAGCAAGUCAGCGGUAAAAAUUCGGGGCUCAACCCCGUCGUGCCGUUGAAACUGAUGUUCUUGAGUGGGCGAGAAGUAUGCGGAAUGCGUGGUGUAGCGGUGAAAUGCAUAGAUAUCACGCAGAACUCCGAUUGCGAAGGCGGCUUACUGGACUGUAACUGACGUUGAGGCUCGAAGGCGUGGGGAGCAAACAGGAUUAGAUACCCGGGUAGUC
Molecule: ribosomal RNA, 460 nt
Filed under: uncultured bacterium
Lineage: Bacteria
Description: partial 16S ribosomal RNA
Rfam family: Bacterial small subunit ribosomal RNA
Source: RNAcentral